Alligator mississippiensis (American alligator) is the source of this 470-nucleotide long non-coding RNA. RefSeq lists it as uncharacterized. NCBI's taxonomy places the organism in Eukaryota, Metazoa, Chordata, Crocodylia, Alligatoridae. The record is from RefSeq and is a predicted model, not a curated record. The transcript has 2 exons.
AGACACAAGCGCGACAGCGGUCAGGUCCUAGGGCCGGGCCGGGCCGCCAGCGGCUGCACGCCGCGCCCGCCGCAUACUUCCGACCCCCCUGGCUCGGGCUCGGGCUCGGGCUCGGGCUCGCCCACAGGAAGAGGGAGAGAGAGAAAAAACUCCCCGCGCCCUCCCCGCCCGCCUGCAGCCGCCGGGAGACGCGUUUGCUGCACGCGCCUCUGCUGGAAGGAGGACUGCAGUGGGACGGAGGCGGCGGAGCACGGGCAGCUCGUGCCGAGGAAGCCAAUCCUGAGGUCCUGCUCAUGGUCCUGCAUCCUGCUCAGCUGAGUAGUGUGGAAAGUGUUUGCAAAGCUACAUGCCCACUCCAAACGGACUUGACAAGAACUGGACUGAGUAACGCUUUAUUCAUUUUUUUUUUAACUCACUGUAUUUGAAAACUAGUUUGGGAAGAAUGGCAAUAAGUAAAAUUACUCUGAGUA